This 337-nucleotide unclassified non-coding RNA is filed under the name soil metagenome. RNAcentral's name for it is "partial contains 5.8S ribosomal RNA, internal transcribed spacer 2, and large subunit ribosomal RNA". The stretch from base 1 to 120 matches the Rfam family "5.8S ribosomal RNA", at positions 35 to 154 of the family's 154-position model. The record is from RNAcentral.
GAUGAAGAACGUAGCGAAAUGCGAUAAGUAGUGUGAAUUGCAGAAUUCAGUGAAUCAUCGAAUCUUUGAACGCACAUUGCGCCCCUUGGUAUUCCAUGGGGCAUGCCUGUUCGAGCGUCAUUUGUACCUUCAAGCCUUGCUUGGUGUUGGGUGUUUGUCUCGCCUCUGCGCGCAGACUCGCCUCAAAACAAUUGGCAGCCGGCGUAUUGAUUUCGGAGCGCAGUACAUCUCGCGCUUUGCACUCAGAACGACGACGUCCAAAAGUACAUUUUUACACUCUUGACCUCGGAUCAGGUAGGGAUACCCGCUGAACUUAAGCAUAUCAAUAAGCGGAGGA